This 26-nucleotide non-coding RNA is filed under the name Homo sapiens (human). Lineage: Eukaryota; Metazoa; Chordata; Mammalia; Primates; Hominidae. The record is from RNAcentral.
CAAAGAUAAUGGCCUAUGUAAUUCUC